Molecule: ribosomal RNA, 342 nt
Filed under: Triticum aestivum (bread wheat)
Lineage: Eukaryota; Viridiplantae; Streptophyta; Magnoliopsida; Poales; Poaceae
Description: partial small subunit ribosomal RNA
Source: RNAcentral
AUGGAGCUCUCGCCGGCGGAUCCAGGUGCUGCGUUGCAGCACUCGCCGACGGGUGUUGAAGCUGCAGUGCAGCGCUCGGUGCUCCAAUGGAGCUCGCCGGCGCUCUCGAAGCUGCAGUGCCGCGCUCGGUGCUCCAUUGGAGCUCUCUCCGGCGGCUCCCGGUGUUGGGUUGCAGCGGUCGGCGGCGGCUCCGGUGUUGCAACGCGGUGCUUUGCCGGCGGCAGCCGUGAUGCAUUACAACAACGGCGUGUUGCUGCCUUGCUACGGCUUCGAUGGGCAUCGAAGCAGGGGUGGCUAAUGUGGGCGCGGGAGGAGGACAGCGGGCGUGUGUGCGUGUGUUGA